AGAGUUUGAUCCUGGCUCAGGACGAACGCUGGCGGCGUGCUUAACACAUGCAAGUCGAACGGAAAGGCCCUUCGGGGUACUCGAGUGGCGAACGGGUGAGUAACACGUGGGUGAUCUGCCCUGCACUUUGGGAUAAGCCUGGGAAACUGGGUCUAAUACCGAAUAUGACCAUGCGCCUCCUGGUGUGUGGUGGAAAGCUUUUGCGGUGUGGGAUGGGCCCGCGGCCUAUCAGCUUGUUGGUGGGGUAAUGGCCUACCAAGGCGACGACGGGUAGCCGGCCUGAGAGGGUGACCGGCCACACUGGGACUGAGAUACGGCCCAGACUCCUACGGGAGGCAGCAGUGGGGAAUAUUGCACAAUGGGCGCAAGCCUGAUGCAGCGACGCCGCGUGAGGGAUGACGGCCUUCGGGUUGUAAACCUCUUUCAGCACAGACGAAGCGCAAGUGACGGUAUGUGCAGAAGAAGGACCGGCCAACUACGUGCCAGCAGCCGCGGUAAUACGUAGGGUCCGAGCGUUGUCCGGAAUUACUGGGCGUAAAGAGCUCGUAGGUGGUUUGUCGCGUUGUUCGUGAAAACUCACAGCUUAACUGUGGGCGUGCGGGCGAUACGGGCAGACUUGAGUACUGCAGGGGAGACUGGAAUUCCUGGUGUAGCGGUGGAAUGCGCAGAUAUCAGGAGGAACACCGGUGGCGAAGGCGGGUCUCUGGGCAGUAACUGACGCUGAGGAGCGAAAGCGUGGGUAGCGAACAGGAUUAGAUACCCUGGUAGUCC
Molecule: ribosomal RNA, 771 nt
Filed under: uncultured bacterium
Lineage: Bacteria
Description: bacterial SSU rRNA
Rfam family: Bacterial small subunit ribosomal RNA
Source: RNAcentral